GAGCCGUAGCGAAAGCGAGUUUUAACUGAGCGUUCAGUUACUUGACGUAGACCCGAAACCGGGCGACCUACCCAUGAGCAGGAUGAAGCGAAAGUAAAAUUUCGUGGAGGUCCGAACCCACGAGCGUUGAAAAGCUCGGGGAUGACUUGUGGGUAGCGGUGAAAUUCCAAUCGAGCCCGGAGAUAGCUGGUUCUCCCCGAAAUAGCUUUAGGGCUAGCCUCAAGGUGAGAGAUACGGAGGUAGAGCACUGAAUGUCCUAGGGGGUAUUGCACCUACCGAAGACUAUCAAACUCCGAAUGCCGUCAUCUUAUACUUGGGAGUCAGACUGUGGGUGAUAAGAUUCAUAGUCGAAAGGGCAACAGCCCAGAUCGUCAGCUAAGGUCCCUAAAUGUAAGUUAAGUGGUAAAGGAUGUGGGAUUGCACAGACAACCAGGAUGUUGGCUUAGAAGCAGCCACUCAUUCAAAGAGUGCGUAAUAGCUCACUGGUCGAGUGAUCCUGCGCCGAAGAUUUCCGGGGCUAAAACUUACUACCGAAGCUACGGCAUCAGUAAUGAUGGGUAGGGGAGCUUCCCAUACGGGUUGAAGCAUGACCGUAAGGACAUGUGGACAGUAUGGGAGUGAGAAUGUUGGCAUGAGUAGCGAGAUGUGGGUGAGAAUCCCACAGGCCGUAAACCCAAGGUUUCCAGGGGAAGGUUCGUCCGCCCUGGGUUAGUCGGGACCUAAGCUGAGGCCGAAAGGCGUAGGUGAUGGACAACAGGUUGAUAUUCCUGUACUACCGAUAACCGUUUGAGAGAAGGGAUGACACAGUAGGAUAAGCUAAGCACACUGUUGGUUAUGUGUGCCCAAGCAUUGAGGCAGUCAAAGUAGGCAAAUCCGCUUUGAUAAUGCUGGGAUGUGAUGGGGAGCGAAAUUUAGUAGCGAAGUAGCUGAUUUCACACUGUCAAGAAAAGUCUCUAUCGAGGUUAAAGGUACCCGUACCGCAAACCGACACAGGUGGGUGAGGAGAGUAUCCUAAGGCCAGCGAGAGAACUGUUGUUAAGGAACUCGGCAAAAUGACCCCGUAACUUAGGGAUAAGGGGUGCCACCAUCAGGUGGCCGCAGAGAAUAGGCCCAAGCGACUGUUUACCAAAAACAUAGGUUUCUGCUAAGUCGCAAGACGAUGUAUAGGAGCUGACGCCUGCCCGGUGCUGGAA
RNAcentral lists this ribosomal RNA (1193 nucleotides) under Clostridioides difficile. RNAcentral's name for it is "partial 23S ribosomal RNA". It matches the Rfam family "Bacterial large subunit ribosomal RNA", at positions 663 to 1874 of the family's 2925-position model. Lineage: Bacteria; Bacillati; Bacillota; Clostridia; Peptostreptococcales; Peptostreptococcaceae. The record is from RNAcentral.